This 1033-nucleotide ribosomal RNA is filed under the name uncultured bacterium. Its description in RNAcentral is "bacterial SSU rRNA". It matches the Rfam family "Bacterial small subunit ribosomal RNA", at positions 102 to 1194 of the family's 1533-position model. The record is from RNAcentral.
ACGGGAGAGUAAUGCUUAUCUUACCUACCGUUUAGUGGGGGAUAAAAUACCGCAUAUUCUAGUUUCGACUAGGAAAGGGAGUCGUAAGGUUCUCGCUAAAUGAGGGGGAUAAGUCGUAUCAGCUUGUUGGUGAGGUAAUGGCUCACCAAGGCAAUGACGCGUAGCCAGGCUGAGAGGCUGAUUGGCCACAAGGAACUGAGACAAGGUCCUACUCCUACGGGAGGCAGCAAUGGGGAAUCGUCGGCGAUGGGGGCAACCCUGACCGCGCAAUACUACGUGAAGGAGGAAGGUCUACGGAUUGUAAACUUCUAUGGGUAGCAAUACCCUGAAAAAAAAAGCCACGACUAACUACGUGCCAGCAGUCGCGGUAAGACGUAGGUGGCAAACGUUAUCCGGAAUUAUUGGGCGUAAAGGGUGCGUAGAUGGCACAAUAAGUUAUUGGUGGUAAAUCGAGGCUCAACCUCGUGGAAGCUGGUAAUACUGUUAUGCUCGAGUGCAGAAGAGGUUAACGGAACUCCCUGUGGAGCGGUAAAAUGUGAAGAUAUAGGGAAGAACACCAAUAACGGCGAAGGCAGUUAACUAUUCUGUUACUGACAUUGAGGCACGAAAGCGUGGGGAGCAAAACGGAUUAGAUACCCGUGUAGUCCACGCCCUAAACGAUGAGUACUAGAUAUUGGGAACUUGAUUCUCAGUGUCGCUAGGUAACCCGGUAAGUACUCCGCCUGGGUAGUACGCUCGCAAGAGUGAAACUCAAAGGAAUUGACGGGGACUCGCACAAGCAGUGGAGCAUGUGGUUUAAUCCGAUACAACGCGUAGAACCUUACCAAGGCUUGACAUGUUGGGCAAAGCUAGGGAAACCUAGUGGAGGUUAUCCUAACACAGGUGCUGCAUGGCCGUCGUCAGUUCGUGCCGUGAGGUGUAUGGUUAAGUCCUAUAACGAACGCAACCCUUGGGCUUAGUUACCANCAUUCAGUUGGGGACUCUAAGCCGACUGCCUGAGCAACCAGGCAAGAAAGGAUGACGUCUGGUCGUC